CCUUGCUGACGGGACAAGAGAAGACCUCCUUUCGUCAGAGAGUCAGCAGGGCAUGGAAGCAUAUCGGGGGAAAGAUUCGUAACCACUAUAGCCAUUUGAGUACUCUGCGGAGUAGGCUGCGCAGUACGUUGGGCCCACUUGUCGGGGCCCCAACGUCCUAUGUAUCCGCACCCCUUGAUCUAUAAAAGGGGGGCGCCCGCUAGAAGAAAGGACGGGCUGGGUGAAAGCCAAGACCCGGCGGAGGAUAGGUUUAUACACAACCAAGAACAAUACUUCUCCUAGUGGACGUAGGGUAUUACGCUCCGGCGGCCCGAACCACUCUAAAACGUGUGUUCUUGUGUGAUUGUCUCAAAGCUAGAUCAGCCCAAUCGCCAAAGUACUUCCCCGAGUCCUUCCUCACUGGGAAUAGACGGGUGCGCUCCGCCACUCGACUGUGGGUACCCUAGAAAUCCCACAACACCAUGGGAACGGACCAACUUGCUGCAACAACUCAGAUUUCGACAUGGCAAAGGUCUGCUUGUGCUAAACUUAAACGGAACCAACGCCAACACGGCCUCCAUAACGCUGUACUAGCGCUGUUGUGUGUUUGCCAGAUCUCAAACCUGACGACGGAGCUUCAGAAGUACUGGCCCUCACUGUACUGCAGCUCGCCAUCUCUCUGCUCCGGGGGCCAUGGAUCUCUGUGGGCGCAUGAGGUAACGGACUGACCGGAAACCAGUCCUGGACUCCAGUUCUUGUAGCGUUUCAGGCUUGCAGCUAUGUUCAUAGGUUCAUAACAUCUCAUCAUCAUCCUCUGAUGCAUGUCAUGGCCGCAUGGGUGUGCACGGCCGUCUACUUUGUUUCGGCAGUGGGGUAAUAUGCAUCCAGAUUCUCAAAGAACCCACUUCAUUAGUUCAUUUCAUCGCGUUAUUUCGUAUCGAUAAUUCGAUUUCACUGAAAAUUUCACACGAACAGAAGUAAAAUUUUCUCGUUUCAGAAAAGCACGGGACAUGCUCGUACCCUGUGAUCCAGGACGAAUACAGCUACUUCUCUACAACCCUGCACCUGUACUCCAGCUACAAUGUCACGGCUAUGCUGGCAAGCAAGAUUAGCAUAGGCGCAGAUGAUGGCGGCAGGUAUCUUGUGGCAGACCUGAUUGGCACCAUCAGAAGCUCCUUUGGAGCGUCCCCUCUGUUGCUGUGUGAGGGAGGAUCGUUGCAGGAGCUCAGCCUCUUGACUGCAUAAAUGGAGGAAAUGGCAGUGAGUAUGAUAUAACAGAACAUGGCCGGUAUUGUCCGAGGUACAUCAGCCUGCCUUCUUAUAAACCUCGUGGUGGUGACACCAGUGGAGCCACGAGAAGGUUUUCCUCAAACAUAAUGCUGGCCUUCUUUGAUGCAUUCUAGUGUGAAGAAAUCAGAAAUCGCUGGAUACCACGCGCGCUUGCAAAUCACUGAUUUUGGUGUACGGUUUUAGCACCAUGUGUAAAGCAUGAGGAUGUCCCUCGAAAAAAGCAUGAGGAUGAUAUAUAUACAAAGUCUACAGUGCAUCAUUCAACUACCAUCUAAAGUACAAUUUUCGACCUGAAACUCUAAAAUAUCAUUUAUUUUCCCUUCAAGUCUCAAAACCAGUGAAAACAAUCCGUU
Molecule: RNA transcript, 1622 nt
Organism: Panicum virgatum (switchgrass)
Lineage: Eukaryota; Viridiplantae; Streptophyta; Magnoliopsida; Poales; Poaceae
Gene name: ribonuclease 2-like
Exons: 4
Source: RefSeq, a predicted model, not a curated record